RNAcentral lists this transfer RNA (66 nucleotides) under Micrurus fulvius (eastern coral snake). Its description in RNAcentral is "tRNA-Arg". It matches the Rfam family "tRNA". From Rfam's summary of the family: Transfer RNA (tRNA) molecules are approximately 80 nucleotides in length. The record is from RNAcentral. Lineage: Eukaryota; Metazoa; Chordata; Lepidosauria; Squamata; Elapidae.
GCUGGGGUAGUCUAAUUAGACAUCUGAUUUCGACUCAGAAGAACUUAUACCACUUAAGCCUUAGUA